CCUACGGGUGUCAGCAGUGGGGAAUAUUGCGCAAUGGGCGCAAGCCUGACGCAGCGACGCCGCGUGAGGGAUGAAGGCCUUCGGAUUGUAAACCUCUUUCAGUAGGGAAGAACGGUCACUGUGCUAUUCAGUUGUGAAUUGACGGUACCUGCAAAGGAAGCACCGGCUAACUCCGUGCCAGCAGCCGCGGUAAUACGGAGGGUGCGAGCGUUAAUCGGAAUUACUGGGCGUAAAGCGCUCGUAGGCGGUAUGUCAAGUCAGGGGUGAAAUCCCCGGGCUCAACGGGGGAACUGCAUUUGAAACUGGCAAACUUGAGUAUUGGAGAGGAUAGUGGAAUUCCAGGUGUAGCGGUGAAAUGCGUAGAGAUCUGGAGGAACACCGGUGGCGAAGGCGGCUAUCUGGCACAUAACUGACGCUGAGGAGCGAAAGCGUGGGUAGCAAACAGGAUUAGAUACCCCAGUAGUC
Molecule: ribosomal RNA, 465 nt
Filed under: uncultured bacterium
Lineage: Bacteria
Description: partial 16S ribosomal RNA
Rfam family: Bacterial small subunit ribosomal RNA
Source: RNAcentral